CAGCAGCCACGGUAAUACGAAGGUCCCGAGCGUUGUUCGGAAUCACUGGGCGUAAAGGGAGCGUAGGCGGCGUGGUAAGUCAGAUGUGAAAUCCCGGGGCUCAACCCCGGAACUGCAUCCGAUACUGCCAUGCUAGAGGAUUGGAGAGGUAGCUGGAAUUCUUGGUGUAGCAGUGAAAUGCGUGGAGAUCAAGAGGAACACUCGUGGCGAAAGCGAGCUACUGGACAAUAACUGACGCUGAGGCUCGAAGGCCAGGGUAGCGAAAGGGAUUAGAUACCCCUGUAGUCCCUGUCUCUUAUAU
RNAcentral lists this ribosomal RNA (301 nucleotides) under uncultured bacterium. Its description in RNAcentral is "partial 16S ribosomal RNA". It matches the Rfam family "Bacterial small subunit ribosomal RNA", at positions 509 to 808 of the family's 1533-position model. The record is from RNAcentral.